RNAcentral lists this ribosomal RNA (497 nucleotides) under uncultured bacterium. Its description in RNAcentral is "partial 16S ribosomal RNA". It matches the Rfam family "Bacterial small subunit ribosomal RNA", at positions 28 to 507 of the family's 1533-position model. The record is from RNAcentral.
GAUGAACGCUGGCGGCGUGCCUAAUACAUGCAAGUCGAGCGAACAGACGAGGAGCUUGCUCCUCUGACGUUAGCGGCGGACGGGUGAGUAACACGUGGAUAACCUACCUAUAAGACUGGGAUAACUUCGGGAAACCGGAGCUAAUACCGGAUAAUAUAUUGAACCGCAUGGUUCAAUAGUGAAAGACGGUUUUGCUGUCACUUAUAGAUGGAUCCGCGCCGCAUUAGCUAGUUGGUAAGGUAACGGCUUACCAAGGCAACGAUGCGUAGCCGACCUGAGAGGGUGAGCGGCCACACUGGAACUGAGACACGGUCCAGACUCCUACGGGAGGCAGCAGUAGGGAAUCUUCCGCAAUGGGCGAAAGCCUGACGGAGCAACGCCGCGUGAGCGAUGAAGGUCUUCGGAUCGUAAAACUCUGUUAUUAGGGAAGAACAAAUGUGUAAGUAACUAUGCACGUCUUGACGGUACCUAAUCAGAAAGCCACGGCUAACUACGUG